AUUAACCCUUGUAUUUCACAAAUUCCCAAUUGCAUGUUAUCCACCGUGCACAUGCUCCGAGAUUUGCGCUGGUCUGCCAGGCUAUAACUUCUCCAUGGGGAAGGGGAUUUAUAAAUAACGAGUCUAGCAUAUUCGCGACGCUGCAGCCUCCAUUGGGAUCCCAAAGAUCUCAUGACCGGAAACGCAAGACGAUGGUAAUUCCAACAGUAUGAUCGUGUUCUUGAUCGCGUAACUGGUCGGGUUUUUGGGUGGCUCAAUCGCUUCCUCAGCCCUCCGAUUCCCCGGACUGUGAAGUCGCUCCCGAUCUCCAGGGGCCGGCUUCGCUGCCAUCGCCUGGCACUAGCAGUCCAAUCAUCCUACCCACGGUGUCUCUGCCGUGCCCUCCGCGGCGGAGCAUCCAUUGCUGUGAACAAACACCAGGCUCUAUCCCUUGCCGGUGCCUGCAACCGCCCGCCCCACGCUCUUGGCCCCUGCUACGACAUCUGUUAGUGGUGAAGAAAUGCGGCAAAACUUUCAUGGGGCAUUGAGUAAUCCUGAUACACUGGAUAGGGAUUGCAUGCCAAGGCAUUUGCUUGCUAAUUAACUAGAUGAGAACUAGAUGACUUCCAAGAGGUUGGAAAUUGAGCAAACCAGAAUUUUGUAGAUCACUUUGAACGUCAAGUAUGAUAUUCUAUUUAUGCAUGAAAUUGGACAUAUUGAUUCCAUCUGAAUGGCCAAUUAUGUACACUAAAAUCAAACAUAGUUGAGUAUUUCAUUCUUUGGAAGCAUGAUCUUUGUAAUACUGUACUAUAAAACUAUGCACAGCUCUACUGGUCUAAUUACGCCAAUGAAAAACUAAAAUUUAUCAAUAGUGAUGGAAUAACUAGGUCACAUCUGAUUUUUCAACAGAGUACUAUAUGAGAUUGCAAUAGAGUCAGCAGAAACUGACAUCUAAGAAUUGCCUAGUAGUGAUACGCUAUCUUGCUAAAUCAUAUUAGAGCUUCGACUUUAGUUUCAACCAUUAAGUACUUUCAUCAUUGGAAAAUAGUUGCAGUCAUGCCAAAAAGUAUUCAUGAUACAUUUUAGUUUCAAGUACUGCUGAAGACGAUCCGAUCCACAUGUUCAUGUAGAACAAAUGUCUUUUUUUUUUUUUGAUUUAAUGGAUAGUGGAGGAAGUAAGAUACCUUCCUCUGUAUUAUAUAAAAGAAUAGAAUACAAGGAAAGAGGUGACAGGGAAGCAAAUGGAAGAACGUAGAACAGAGUUGCUGGAAGACCCAGCAUCCAAACCUAUAACUACAGAAGACUAAGCGUACAGAGAAGAACAGAGUACGAGGGCAGAGGUUACAGAGAAGAACGUACCCAAACAAAUAACUACAGAAGAUUAUGUAGAAUUAAGUGGAGUCAAGGAAGCCUGCCGGCUCCACAGUGCUUUGCGCCCAUCGGUCACUUCAGCCGAACCCAGAGGUUCCCGCUGCCGGAACGUAGAUCAAAUGUUGAUCUGCUUCAAUAUGUAGUUUCAAGUACCACAUAAUAUAAGUCCAAGUUAUGUCAAAUUUCUAGCUGACAAUUACUUGCCAAGCAUGAUUCCCUAUCCUAAGGAAACCAAAUUUAUGCAAUUUUCCCCGUAUGUUUAAAUUGUUAAGCUGCAUUUCAUAUCUUUAUAAACAAUUUAAUAAAUUCUUGCUACUACUUAUUUGUUGUAUGCAGAUGGUUCUGGAAAGACCAAGUCACCAAUAGAAUCUCCUAAAGAGAUGUCCAAAUCAUCUAGCUUUCACUCCAAAAAAAUGGACUUUCUCAGCGGGGAACCUCGUUGGUACGCAACUUGCUUGCCCUCGGGAUAAGCCACGCGGCGCUACCAGAGUGCGUAUCCGCGCGAAUGUGAUUUUGGUCGCAGGGUUCAAGAGCGUGGGGCUGGAGUUUGCAGGCAUCGGCAAGGGAUAGAGCCUGGUCUUUGUUCACAGCAAUGGAUGCUCCGCCGCGGAGGGCACGGCAGAGACUGGACGUGGGAUGAUUGGACUGCCAGUGCCAGGCAAUGGCAGCAUAUAUAACGCAGACGGAGGGCUGAGGAAGCGAUUGAGCGACCCAAAAACCCGGCCAGUAACGCGAUCAAGAAGACGAUCAUACUGUUGGAAACCAUCGUCUUGCGUCUCGCUCUACGGAAGAUUAGAGGCUGCAGCUAAGCGUCUUUUACAUUUAAAAGGAAGGAGAGGACAACCAUUGUCUGCUAGUGACAGCAAGCGAAAGACGAGGAUCAAAGUUUAUGCUCAUCCAAAAUAGAGGACCAAAGUGUAUUGUUUAGUUACAACGAUUCCCAUAACCAUUUAUCCAAAAAAAAUAAUUUUAAAAAAAUAAAUUUUAUGCUAUUUAGAUGGUG
Molecule: non-coding RNA, 2353 nt
Organism: Elaeis guineensis (African oil palm)
Lineage: Eukaryota; Viridiplantae; Streptophyta; Magnoliopsida; Arecales; Arecaceae
Source: RefSeq, a predicted model, not a curated record